Molecule: ribosomal RNA, 851 nt
Filed under: uncultured bacterium
Lineage: Bacteria
Description: bacterial SSU rRNA
Rfam family: Bacterial small subunit ribosomal RNA
Source: RNAcentral
GACGAACGCUGGCGGCGUGCUUAACACAUGCAAGUCGAACGAUGAAGGGGAGCUUGCUCCUUGGAUUAGUGGCGAACGGGUGAGUAACACGUGAGUAACCUGCCCUGGACUCUGGGAUAACCCCGAGAAAUCGGAGCUAAUACCGGAUAGGACCUUGGAUCGCAUGAUCUGGGGUGGAAAGUUUUUCGGUCUGGGAUGGACUCGCGGCCUAUCAGCUUGUUGGUGGGGUGAUGGCCUACCAAGGCGACGACGGGUAGCCGGCCUGAGAGGGCGACCGUCCACACUGGGACUGAGACACGGCCCAGACUCCUACGGGAGGCAGCAGUGGGGAAUAUUGCGCAAUGGGCGGAAGCCUGACGCAGCGACGCCGCGUGGGGGAUGACGGCCUUCGGGUUGUAAACCUCUUUCGGCCCCGACGAAGCGUGAGUGACGGUAGGGGUAGAAGAAGCACCGGCCAACUACGUGCCAUCAGCCGCGGUAAUACGUAGGGUGCGAGCGUUGUCCGGAAUUAUUGGGCGUAAAGAGCUCGUAGGCGGUCUGUCGCGUCGAUCGUGAAAACUUGGGGCUUAACCCUGAGCUUGCGGUCGAUACGGGCAUGACUGGAGUUCGGCAGGGGAGAACGGAAUUCCUGGUGUAGCGGUGGAAUGCGUAGAUAUCAGAGGAACACCGGUGGCGAAAGGCGGUUCUCUGGGCAUUACCUGACGCUGAGGAGCGAAAGUGUGGGGAGCGAACAGGAUUAGAUACCCUGGUAGUCCACACCGUAACGUUGGGCGCUAGGUGUGGGACUCAUUCCACGAGUUCCGUGCCGCAGCUACGCAUUAGCGCCCGCCUGGGGAGUACGUCGCAGAUAN